GAUGAACGCUAGCGGCAGGCCUAACACAUGCAAGUCGAGGGAGAAGCUCUUUCGGGAGCAGAAACCGGCGCACGGGUGCGUAACGCGUAUGCAACCUACCUUUCACAGGGGGAUAGCCCGAAGAAAUUUGGAUUAAUACCCCAUAAUAUUAUUGGAUGGCAUCAUUUGAUAAUUAAAACUGCGGUGGUGAAAGAUGGGCAUGCGUCCUAUUAGCUAGUUGGAGUGGUAACGGCACCCCAAGGCUACGAUAGGUAGGGGUCCUGAGAGGGAGAUCCCCCACACUGGUACUGAGACAGGGACCAGACUCCUACGGGAGGCAGCAGUGAGGAAUAUUGGUCAAUGGUCGGAAGACUGAACCAGCCAUGCCGCGUGCAGGAAGAAUGCCUUAUGGGUUGUAAACUGCUUUUAUAUGGGAAGAAUAAGGCGUACGUGUACGUUGAUGACGGUACCAUAUGAAUAAGCAUCGGCUAGCUCCGUGCCAGCAGCCGCGGUAAUACGGAGGAUGCGAGCGUUAUUCGGAAUCAUUGGGUUUAAAGGGUCUGUAGGCGGGCUAUUAAGUCAGGGGUGAAAGGUUUCAGCUUAACUGAGAAAUUGCCUUUGAUACUGGUAGUCUUGAAUAUCUGUGAAGUUCUUGGAAUGUGUAGUGUAGCGGUGAAAUGCUUAGAUAUUACACAGAACACCGAUUGCGAAGGCAGGGGACUAACAGACAAUUGACGCUGAGAGACGAAAGCGUGGGGAGCGAACAGG
Molecule: ribosomal RNA, 747 nt
Filed under: uncultured Capnocytophaga sp.
Lineage: Bacteria; Pseudomonadati; Bacteroidota; Flavobacteriia; Flavobacteriales; Flavobacteriaceae
Description: bacterial SSU rRNA
Rfam family: Bacterial small subunit ribosomal RNA
Source: RNAcentral